UACGUAGGGUGCGAGCGUUAAUCGGAAUUACUGGGCGUAAAGCGUGCGUAGGCGGUUGGCCAAGUCAGCUGUGAAAGCCCCGGGCUUAACUUGGGAAUUGCGCUCGAAACUACGUGGCUCGAGUGUGGCAGAGGAAGGUGGAAUUCCACGUGUAGCGGUGAAAUGCGUAGAGAUGUGGAGGAACACCGAUGGCGAAGGCAGCCUUCUGGGCCAACACUGACGCUCAUGCACGAAAGCGUGGGGAGCAAACAGG
RNAcentral lists this ribosomal RNA (253 nucleotides) under uncultured bacterium. RNAcentral describes it as "partial 16S ribosomal RNA". It matches the Rfam family "Bacterial small subunit ribosomal RNA", at positions 524 to 776 of the family's 1533-position model. The record is from RNAcentral.